Molecule: ribosomal RNA, 468 nt
Filed under: uncultured bacterium
Lineage: Bacteria
Description: partial 16S ribosomal RNA
Rfam family: Bacterial small subunit ribosomal RNA
Source: RNAcentral
GACGAACGCUGGCGGCGUGCUUAACACAUGCAAGUCGAACGGAAAGGCCCUGCUUUUGUGGGGUGCUCGAGUAGCGAACGGGUGAGUAACACGUGAGUAACCUGCCCUUGACUUUGGGAUAACUUCAGGAAACUGGGGCUAAUACCGGAUAGGAGCUCCUGCUGCAUGGUGGGGGUUGGAAAGUUUCGGCGGUUGGGGAUGGACUCGCGGCUUAUCAGCUUGUUGGUGGGGUAGUGGCUUACCAAGGCUUUGACGGGUAGCCGUCCUGAGAGGGUGACCGGCCAAAUUGGGACGGAGAUGCGGCCCAGACUACUACGGGAGGCAGCAGUGGGGAAGAUAGCACAAUGGGAGGAAGCCUAAUGCAGCAAAGCCGCGUGCGGGAUGACGGCCUUCGGGUUGUAAACCGCUUUCGCCUGUGACGAAGCGUGAGUGACGGUAAUGGGUAAAGAAGCACCGGCUAACUCCGUG